This 253-nucleotide ribosomal RNA is filed under the name uncultured bacterium. Its description in RNAcentral is "partial 16S ribosomal RNA". It matches the Rfam family "Bacterial small subunit ribosomal RNA", at positions 524 to 776 of the family's 1533-position model. The record is from RNAcentral.
UACAGAGGUCUCGAGCGUUGUUCGGAUUCAUUGGGCGUAAAGGGUGCGUAGGUGGCGCUGUAAGUCGGGUGUGAAAUCCUGAGGCUUAACCUCGGAACUGCAUUCGAUACUGCGGCGUUUGAGGACUGGAGAGGAGACUGGAAUUCAUGGUGUAGCAGUGAAAUGCGUAGAGAUCAUGAGGAAGACCAGUGGCGAAGGCGGGUCUCUGGACAGUUCCUGACACUGAGGCACGAAGGCCAGGGGAGCAAACGGG